GUCCACGCCGUAAACGAUGGGUGCUAGGUGUCGCGGGCUUUGACCCCUGCGGUGCCGUAGCUAACGCAUUAAGCACCCCGCCUGGGAAGUACGGUCGCAAGACUAAAACUCAAAGGAAUUGACGGGGCCCGCACAAGCGGUGGAGCAUGUGGUUUAAUUCGACGCAACGCGAAGAACCUUACCUGGGCUAGAAAGUAUAGAAACCCUGCCGAAAGGCGGGGGUGCUCUUCGGAGAAUCUAUAGUUAGGUGCUGCAUGGCUGUCGU
This 265-nucleotide ribosomal RNA is filed under the name uncultured bacterium. Its description in RNAcentral is "partial 16S ribosomal RNA". It matches the Rfam family "Bacterial small subunit ribosomal RNA", at positions 793 to 1055 of the family's 1533-position model. The record is from RNAcentral.